UACGAAUGUCCCUAGCGUUCUCCGGAACUAUUGGGCGUAAAGGGUGCGUAGGUGGCUUUGUGCGUCUGUUGUUAAAUGUCACGGCUCAACUGUGACGCCGCAAUGGAUACGGCAAAGCUAGAGGACGCGAGAGGUCUGUGGAACUCAUGGUGUAGGGGUGAAAUCCGUUGAUAUCAUGGGGAACACCAAAGGCGAAGGCAGCAGACUGGCGCGUUUCUGACACUGAGGCACGAAAGCGUGGGGAGCAAAAAGG
This 253-nucleotide unclassified non-coding RNA is filed under the name uncultured Parcubacteria group bacterium. RNAcentral's name for it is "contains 16S-23S intergenic spacer region". It matches the Rfam family "Bacterial small subunit ribosomal RNA", at positions 524 to 776 of the family's 1533-position model. The record is from RNAcentral.